UGGGAACUGUGUGCAGGGUCUAUUGAGA
RNAcentral lists this non-coding RNA (28 nucleotides) under Mus musculus (house mouse). The record is from RNAcentral. Lineage: Eukaryota; Metazoa; Chordata; Mammalia; Rodentia; Muridae.